CUCCUUUGCCAGAUCGUCUCGGUUUAACCCUGCACGCUUCCAGCCCUGAGUUCCUGUUUGCUAACCUGUUUCCUGAUCUUCGACCCGUUUUUGGACCUGGAUAACCUGAUUCUGCCUGCCCCCUGUCUGUUUUUGCCACCAGCCUUGUCUCACUCUUCACAUCACCACAGCUCCAGUGGAUCUCUCACCGUCCUCCCGGUACAGCGAUUCCCCCCUGCGUCCUUCCUCUCCUUGGCCGGCCAGUGGGUGACGUCUCCAGACCCGGAUUUCCUGAGCAGUAUUCAGUCUCUUAUAAUAAACCUGUUUUCUU
Melanotaenia boesemani (Boeseman's rainbowfish) is the source of this 310-nucleotide long non-coding RNA. RefSeq lists it as uncharacterized. Lineage: Eukaryota; Metazoa; Chordata; Actinopteri; Atheriniformes; Melanotaeniidae. The record is from RefSeq and is a predicted model, not a curated record. The transcript has 3 exons.